CAUAGUUUAGGUUAUAUUUUGACUAUUGGUUUUACACUCCAAAGGGCAUUCUUUGUAGUAUUAG
This 64-nucleotide transfer RNA is filed under the name Plectus acuminatus. Its description in RNAcentral is "tRNA-Val". The record is from RNAcentral. Lineage: Eukaryota; Metazoa; Nematoda; Chromadorea; Plectida; Plectidae.